CCUACGGGUGGCAGCAGUGGGGGAUAUUGCACAAUGGGGGAAACCCUGAUGCAGCGACGCCGCGUGAGUGAAGAAGUAUUUCGGUUUGUAAAGCUCUAUUAGCAGGGAAGAAAAAAGACGGUACCUGACUAAAAAGCCCCGGCUAACUACGUUCCAGCAGCCGCGGUAAUACGUAGGGGGGAAGCGUUUUCCGGAUUUACUGGGUGUAAAGGGAGCGUAGACGGGCAGACAAGUCAGAAGUGAAAUUCCCGGGCUCAACCUCGGAACUGCUUUGGAAACUGUAUGGCUGGAGUUCUGGAGAGGUAAGCGGAAUUCCUAGUGUAGCGGUGAAAUGCGUAGAUAUUAGGAGGAACACCAGUGGCGAAGGCGGCUUACUGGACAGUAACUGACGUUGAGGCGCGAAAGCGUGGGGAGCAAACAGGAUUAGAUACCCUUGUAGUC
RNAcentral lists this ribosomal RNA (441 nucleotides) under uncultured bacterium. Its description in RNAcentral is "partial 16S ribosomal RNA". It matches the Rfam family "Bacterial small subunit ribosomal RNA", at positions 338 to 795 of the family's 1533-position model. The record is from RNAcentral.